This 2903-nucleotide ribosomal RNA is filed under the name Escherichia coli. RNAcentral's name for it is "23S ribosomal RNA". It matches the Rfam family "Bacterial large subunit ribosomal RNA". Lineage: Bacteria; Pseudomonadati; Pseudomonadota; Gammaproteobacteria; Enterobacterales; Enterobacteriaceae. The record is from RNAcentral.
GGUUAAGCGACUAAGCGUACACGGUGGAUGCCCUGGCAGUCAGAGGCGAUGAAGGACGUGCUAAUCUGCGAUAAGCGUCGGUAAGGUGAUAUGAACCGUUAUAACCGGCGAUUUCCGAAUGGGGAAACCCAGUGUGAUUCGUCACACUAUCAUUAACUGAAUCCAUAGGUUAAUGAGGCGAACCGGGGGAACUGAAACAUCUAAGUACCCCGAGGAAAAGAAAUCAACCGAGAUUCCCCCAGUAGCGGCGAGCGAACGGGGAGGAGCCCAGAGCCUGAAUCAGUGUGUGUGUUAGUGGAAGCGUCUGGAAAGGCGCGCGAUACAGGGUGACAGCCCCGUACACAAAAAUGCACAUGCUGUGAGCUCGAUGAGUAGGGCGGGACACGUGGUAUCCUGUCUGAAUAUGGGGGGACCAUCCUCCAAGGCUAAAUACUCCUGACUGACCGAUAGUGAACCAGUACCGUGAGGGAAAGGCGAAAAGAACCCCGGCGAGGGGAGUGAAAAAGAACCUGAAACCGUGUACGUACAAGCAGUGGGAGCACGCUUAGGCGUGUGACUGCGUACCUUUUGUAUAAUGGGUCAGCGACUUAUAUUCUGUAGCAAGGUUAACCGAAUAGGGGAGCCGAAGGGAAACCGAGUCUUAACUGGGCGUUAAGUUGCAGGGUAUAGACCCGAAACCCGGUGAUCUAGCCAUGGGCAGGUUGAAGGUUGGGUAACACUAACUGGAGGACCGAACCGACUAAUGUUGAAAAAUUAGCGGAUGACUUGUGGCUGGGGGUGAAAGGCCAAUCAAACCGGGAGAUAGCUGGUUCUCCCCGAAAGCUAUUUAGGUAGCGCCUCGUGAACUCAUCUCCGGGGGUAGAGCACUGUUUCGGCAAGGGGGUCAUCCCGACUUACCAACCCGAUGCAAACUGCGAAUACCGGAGAAUGUUAUCACGGGAGACACACGGCGGGUGCUAACGUCCGUCGUGAAGAGGGAAACAACCCAGACCGCCAGCUAAGGUCCCAAAGUCAUGGUUAAGUGGGAAACGAUGUGGGAAGGCCCAGACAGCCAGGAUGUUGGCUUAGAAGCAGCCAUCAUUUAAAGAAAGCGUAAUAGCUCACUGGUCGAGUCGGCCUGCGCGGAAGAUGUAACGGGGCUAAACCAUGCACCGAAGCUGCGGCAGCGACGCUUAUGCGUUGUUGGGUAGGGGAGCGUUCUGUAAGCCUGUGAAGGUGUGCUGUGAGGCAUGCUGGAGGUAUCAGAAGUGCGAAUGCUGACAUAAGUAACGAUAAAGCGGGUGAAAAGCCCGCUCGCCGGAAGACCAAGGGUUCCUGUCCAACGUUAAUCGGGGCAGGGUGAGUCGACCCCUAAGGCGAGGCCGAAAGGCGUAGUCGAUGGGAAACAGGUUAAUAUUCCUGUACUUGGUGUUACUGCGAAGGGGGGACGGAGAAGGCUAUGUUGGCCGGGCGACGGUUGUCCCGGUUUAAGCGUGUAGGCUGGUUUUCCAGGCAAAUCCGGAAAAUCAAGGCUGAGGCGUGAUGACGAGGCACUACGGUGCUGAAGCAACAAAUGCCCUGCUUCCAGGAAAAGCCUCUAAGCAUCAGGUAACAUCAAAUCGUACCCCAAACCGACACAGGUGGUCAGGUAGAGAAUACCAAGGCGCUUGAGAGAACUCGGGUGAAGGAACUAGGCAAAAUGGUGCCGUAACUUCGGGAGAAGGCACGCUGAUAUGUAGGUGAAGUCCCUCGCGGAUGGAGCUGAAAUCAGUCGAAGAUACCAGCUGGCUGCAACUGUUUAUUAAAAACACAGCACUGUGCAAACACGAAAGUGGACGUAUACGGUGUGACGCCUGCCCGGUGCCGGAAGGUUAAUUGAUGGGGUCAGCGCAAGCGAAGCUCUUGAUCGAAGCCCCGGUAAACGGCGGCCGUAACUAUAACGGUCCUAAGGUAGCGAAAUUCCUUGUCGGGUAAGUUCCGACCUGCACGAAUGGCGUAAGAUGGCCAGGCUGUCUCCACCCGAGACUCAGUGAAAUUGAACUCGCUGUGAAGAUGCAGUGUACCCGCGGCAAGACGGAAAGACCCCGUGAACCUUUACUAUAGCUUGACACUGAACAUUGAGCCUUGAUGUGUAGGAUAGGUGGGAGGCUUAGAAGUGUGGACGCCAGUCUGCAUGGAGCCGACCUUGAAAUACCACCCUUUAAUGUUUGAUGUUCUAACGUUGACCCGUAAUCCGGGUUGCGGACAGUGUCUGGUGGGUAGUUUGACUGGGGCGGUCUCCUCCUAAAGAGUAACGGAGGAGCACGAAGGUUGGCUAAUCCUGGUCGGACAUCAGGAGGUUAGUGCAAUGGCAUAAGCCAGCUUGACUGCGAGCGUGACGGCGCGAGCAGGUGCGAAAGCAGGUCAUAGUGAUCCGGUGGUUCUGAAUGGAAGGGCCAUCGCUCAACGGAUAAAAGGUACUCCGGGGAUAACAGGCUGAUACCGCCCAAGAGUUCAUAUCGACGGCGGUGUUUGGCACCUCGAUGUCGGCUCAUCACAUCCUGGGGCUGAAGUAGGUCCCAAGGGUAUGGCUGUUCGCCAUUUAAAGUGGUACGCGAGCUGGGUUUAGAACGUCGUGAGACAGUUCGGUCCCUAUCUGCCGUGGGCGCUGGAGAACUGAGGGGGGCUGCUCCUAGUACGAGAGGACCGGAGUGGACGCAUCACUGGUGUUCGGGUUGUCAUGCCAAUGGCACUGCCCGGUAGCUAAAUGCGGAAGAGAUAAGUGCUGAAAGCAUCUAAGCACGAAACUUGCCCCGAGAUGAGUUCUCCCUGACCCUUUAAGGGUCCUGAAGGAACGUUGAAGACGACGACGUUGAUAGGCCGGGUGUGUAAGCGCAGCGAUGCGUUGAGCUAACCGGUACUAAUGAACCGUGAGGCUUAACCUU